GGGAUAAGCUUGGUGCUACCUCUUUUCUUUUGUUUGUUAUUUUCUUUGAAUAAGAGGAUUGAGAGUUUCUGAAUAUUGUGAAGUGAAUUAUGGAAUGGAAAUAUGAUUAGUAUUAUUUGAGAAGAAGAAAGAUUGAAUGCUGAAAUCUGAUUGUAGUUCAGCAAAGAGAAUGAGUCUGUGUUUGUGUGAAACACUGUAAUGUGAAUGGCAGUUCUGUGUGAAGAAUUCCAGUGAUUGGAAUGAGGGUAAUUGUAUGCUGAAAGCUGUGAGGGUGCAGUAUUAUAGUUGGAGAUUGUGAGGGUGAAUAUAUUGGUGGAAAUAGCAGUUAUUAGUAUGACUAAAUUGCUAUAAGGAAGAGACCGAUAAGGUGAAGGAGGAGAUUAUAGUUUCCUUGUGUGUUCAGAUAUUGGAAAUAGAGAUGAUACAUUCAUGAGGUAAUUGAUUGUGUGAUCCUAACAUGAAUGCUUAAGUAACUAGUCAUUUUUUGUAUUCAAAUCUCCCUAUACGGAUUUAUGCUGGAAGGUUUCUUCCUAAAUAAGUAAAACGAGCAAUCACAACU
RNAcentral lists this long non-coding RNA (559 nucleotides) under Physcomitrium patens. RNAcentral's name for it is "long non-coding RNA (PPAT_LNC005650)". The record is from RNAcentral. Lineage: Eukaryota; Viridiplantae; Streptophyta; Bryopsida; Funariales; Funariaceae.